This 449-nucleotide ribosomal RNA is filed under the name uncultured bacterium. Its description in RNAcentral is "partial 16S ribosomal RNA". It matches the Rfam family "Bacterial small subunit ribosomal RNA", at positions 29 to 523 of the family's 1533-position model. The record is from RNAcentral.
AAUGAACGCUGGCGGCAGGCCUAACACAUGCAAGUCGAACGGAUCCUUCGGGAUUAGUGGCGGACGGGUGCGCAACGCGUGGGAACAUACCCAAAGGUACGGAAUAGCCUCGGGAAACUGGGAGUAAUACCGUAUGUGCUCGAAAGCGAAAAGAUUUAUCGCCUUUGGAUUGGCCCGGGUUGGAUUAGGUCGUUGGUGGGGUAAUGGCCUACCAAGCCGACGAUCCAUUGCUGGUUGGAGAGUAUUAUCAGCCACACUGGGACUGAGACACGGCCCAGACUCCUACGGGGGGCAGCAGUGUGGAAUCUUAGACGAUGGGGGAAACCGUGAUCUAGCCAUGCCGCGUGAUCGAUGAAGGCCUUAGGGUUGUAAAGAUCGUUCAGGUGGGAAGAUAAUGACUGUACCACCAGAAGAAGCCCCGGCUAACUCCGUGCCAGCCGCAGCGGUAG